CCAAGCUAAGCUUGGUGUCCGACC
RNAcentral lists this non-coding RNA (24 nucleotides) under Mus musculus (house mouse). The record is from RNAcentral. Lineage: Eukaryota; Metazoa; Chordata; Mammalia; Rodentia; Muridae.